CCUACGGGAGGCAGCAGUAGGGAAUCUUCCGCAAUGGACGAAAGUCUGACGGAGCAACGCCGCGUGAACGAUGAAGGCCUUCGGGUCGUAAAGUUCUGUUGUUAGGGAAGAACAAGUGCUAGUUGAAUAAGCUGGCACCUUGACGGUACCUAACCAGAAAGCCACGGCUAACUACGUGCCAGCAGCCGCGGUAAUACGUAGGUGGCAAGCGUUGUCCGGAAUUAUUGGGCGUAAAGCGCGCGCAGGCGGUUUCUUAAGUCUGAUGUGAAAGCCCCCGGGCUCAACCGGGGAGGGUCAUUGGAAACUGGGAAACUUGAGUGCAGAAGAGGAAAGUGGAAUUCCAAGUGUAGCGGUGAAAUGCGUAGAGAUUUGGAGGAACACCGGUGGCGAAGGCGACUUUCUGGUCUGUAACUGACGCUGAGGCGCGAAAGCGUGGGGAGCAAACAGGAUUAGAUACCCUGGUAGUCCACGCUGUAAACCGAUGAGUGCUAAGUGUUAGAGGGUUUUCCCGCCCUUUAGUGCUGAAGUUAACGCAUUAAGCNCNCGCCNGGNGAGUCGCAGANNAACACAAGAGUGNGNGNGNGNGNGCGAGCGCACGAGGGAGAG
This 606-nucleotide ribosomal RNA is filed under the name uncultured bacterium. Its description in RNAcentral is "bacterial SSU rRNA". It matches the Rfam family "Bacterial small subunit ribosomal RNA", at positions 338 to 873 of the family's 1533-position model. The record is from RNAcentral.